GGACUGACACUGACGCUGAGGUACGAAAGCGUGGGUAGCAAACAGGAUUAGAUACCCUGGUAGUCCACGCCGUAAACGAUGUCGACUAGCCGUUGGGGUCCUCGAGACCUUUGUGGCGCAGUUAACGCACUAAGUCGACCGCCUGGGGAGUACGGCCGCAAGGUUAAAACUCAAAUGAAUUGACGGGGGCCCGCACAAGCGGUGGAGCAUGUGGUUUAAUUCGAUGCAACGCGAAGAACCUUACCUACCCUUGACAUCGUGCGAACUUUCUAGAGAUGGAUUGGUGCCUUCGGGAGCGCACAGACAGGUGCUGCAUGGCUGUCGUCAGCUCGUGUUGUGAAAUGUUGGGUUAAGUCCCGUAACGAGCGCAACCCUUGUCCCUAUUUGCCAGCGAUUCGGUCGGGAACUCUAGGGAGACUGCCGGUGACAAACCGGAGGAAGGUGGGGACGACGUCAAGUCAUCAUGGCCCUUACGGGUAGGGCUACACACGUGCUACAAUGGCCGGUACAAUGGGUUGCAAAGCGGCGACGUGGAGCUAAUCUCAUAAAGCCGGUCUCAGUCCGGAUCGGAGUCUGCAACUCGACUCCGUGAAGUCGGAAUCGCUAGUAAUCGUGCAUCAGAAUGGCACGGUGAAUACGUUCCCGGGCCUUGUACACACC
RNAcentral lists this ribosomal RNA (660 nucleotides) under Halomonas elongata. RNAcentral's name for it is "bacterial SSU rRNA". It matches the Rfam family "Bacterial small subunit ribosomal RNA", at positions 731 to 1391 of the family's 1533-position model. The record is from RNAcentral. Lineage: Bacteria; Pseudomonadati; Pseudomonadota; Gammaproteobacteria; Oceanospirillales; Halomonadaceae.